Molecule: unclassified non-coding RNA, 429 nt
Filed under: soil metagenome
Description: partial contains 5.8S ribosomal RNA, internal transcribed spacer 2, and large subunit ribosomal RNA
Rfam family: 5.8S ribosomal RNA (bases 1-120)
Source: RNAcentral
GAUGAAGAACGUAGCGAAAUGCGAUACGUAAUGUGAAUUGCAGAAUUCAGUGAAUCAUCGAAUCUUUGAACGCAUAUUGCGCUCUCUGGUAUUCCGGAGAGCAUGCUUGUUUGAGUAUCAGUAAACACCUCAACUCCCUUUUCUUUUUUGAAAUUGGAGCUGGACUUGAGUGAUCCCAACGCUUUCUUCCACGAAAGUGGCGGGUUGCUUGAAAUGCAGGUGCAGCUGAACUUUUCUCUGAGCUAUAAGCAUAUCUAUUUAGUCUGCCUAAAAAACAGAUUAUUACCUUUGCUGCAGCUAACAUAAAGGAGACUAGUUCUUGUGCUGACUGAUGCAGGAUUCACAGAGACAGCUUCGGCUGACUUUGUAAACUCGAUCUCAAAUCAAGUAAGACUACCCGCUGAACUUAAGCAUAUCAUAAGCGGAGGA